UACAUGGGGUGCAAACGUUGCUCGGAAUUAUUGGGCGUAAAGCGCACGUAGGCGGUUCGUUAAGUCAGAUGUGAAAGCCCCCGGCUCAACUGGGGAGGGUCACUCGAUACUGAUCGACUUGAAGGCAGGAGAGGGAAGCGGAAUUCCCGGUGUAGUGGUGAAAUGCGUAGAUAUCGGGAGGAACACCAGUGGCGAAGGCGACUACCUGGCCUGUUCUUGACGCUGAGGCGCGAAAGCUAGGGGAGCAAACGGG
Molecule: ribosomal RNA, 253 nt
Filed under: uncultured bacterium
Lineage: Bacteria
Description: partial 16S ribosomal RNA
Rfam family: Bacterial small subunit ribosomal RNA
Source: RNAcentral